CCAGAGCCCUGGGGCUGGGCUGAUGGGAAGUCUGAACUGUCUCUGUUUCCUUGGUCUCCGGCAG
Molecule: microRNA precursor, 64 nt
Filed under: Ovis aries (sheep)
Lineage: Eukaryota; Metazoa; Chordata; Mammalia; Artiodactyla; Bovidae
Description: miRNA (ENSOARG00000021881.1)
Source: RNAcentral